RNAcentral lists this ribosomal RNA (425 nucleotides) under uncultured bacterium. RNAcentral describes it as "partial 16S ribosomal RNA". It matches the Rfam family "Bacterial small subunit ribosomal RNA", at positions 354 to 796 of the family's 1533-position model. The record is from RNAcentral.
GUGGGGAAUCUUAGACAAUGGGCGCAAGCCUGAUCUAGCCAUGCCGCGUGAGCGAUGAAGGCCUUAGGGUUGUAAAGCUCUUUCGUGGGGGAAGAUAAUGACUGUACCCCAAGAAGAAGCCCCGGCUAACUCCGUGCCAGCAGCCGCGGUAAUACGGAGGGGGCUAGCGUUGUUCGGAAUUACUGGGCGUAAAGCGCACGUAGGCGGACUGGAAAGUCAGGGGUGAAAUCCCGGGGCUCAACCCCGGAACUGCCCUUGAAACUCCCAGUCUUGAGUUCGAGAGAGGUGAGUGGAAUUCCGAGUGUAGAGGUGAAAUUCGUAGAUAUUCGGAGGAACACCAGUGGCGAAGGCGGCUCACUGGCUCGAUACUGACGCUGAGGUGCGAAAGCGUGGGGAGCAAACAGGAUUAGAAACCCCUGUAGUCC